Molecule: ribosomal RNA, 418 nt
Filed under: uncultured eukaryote
Lineage: Eukaryota
Description: SSU rRNA
Rfam family: Eukaryotic small subunit ribosomal RNA
Source: RNAcentral
CAAUAGCGUAUAUUAAAGUUGUUGCAGUUAAAAAGCUCGUAGUUGGAUUUGUGGUGGUGCCCGUGGUCCAAAAUGUUUUGGUGCCGUUGGGCGCCGCCAUCCUUGGGUGGAACUUGUGGGGCAUUAGGUUGUUUCGCAGGGGAUGCCCAUCGUUUACUGUGAAAAAAUUAGAGUGUUCAAAGCAGGCUUACGCCGUUGAAUAGAUUAGCAUGGAAUAAUGAGAUAGGACUUUGGUACUAUUUUGUUGGUUUGCGCACCGAAGUAAUGAUUAAUAGGGACAGUUGGGGGUAUUCGUAUUCCAUUGUCAGAGGUGAAAUUCUUGGAUUUUUGGAAGACGAACUACUGCGAAAGCAUUUACCAAGGAUGUUUUCAUUAAUCAAGAACGAAAGUUAGGGGAUCGAAGACGAUCAGAUACCAU